AACUCAGUCAGGGUGAAUUCUCACUGAAUAAACACCACUAACCUUCUCAGAUGCUGGGAAGUUGCACUGGCCCUGUGGAUUGAUCCUGACGGCUCCAUCUGGAGGAUCCAGAUCACUUGGUGACUGAUCCUAAUCUUGCUGUCGCUAGGCAGGACAAGAGUUAGCGGGGAAGUUGUCCAGAGAUUAGAAGCCAACAGGAGUAUCCGACAGUGGCAAAGGCAGGCAGGAGCAAAACAGGAAUGAGACAGGUCAAUAACAGGAGAUCAAUACAAGGAACGCUGGAAGGUCUACUCACCCUAUGGCUUUCAAGAAUCUGGCGGUUACAAACUGGGAGUGUCAUGAAUAUAUAGUGCUCCUCCCAGGUGUAACCACUCAGCUCUGAUUGCCAGAGCAGCACAGGGAGCAGGAAGUGAUGUCCUGGGACUGCACACAGCAGCUACUCAGGAAUCAUUACACUUUUAUUUAGAUUGGAAAAUCAAAAUUUACAAUCUCCUAUUAAAUUAACAACUUGGUUUAAUCUACAAAUAAAAAAAAAAUGGAUUUUCAACUCAUUGUGCUCAGUGACCAAGCUAACUAUUAAGAUCACUAGAAUGUAUUUUUCACCAUUUUCACACAUUUGAACAUAACAUGUUUGAUGGUUGACUCAUUAAAUAAAGCAGACAUCUUCAAAAGAUAAAAAUAAAU
This is a long non-coding RNA of Fundulus heteroclitus (mummichog), 684 nucleotides long. RefSeq lists it as uncharacterized. The record is from RefSeq and is a predicted model, not a curated record. The transcript has 2 exons. Lineage: Eukaryota; Metazoa; Chordata; Actinopteri; Cyprinodontiformes; Fundulidae.